CCCGGAGGGCGGGGCGAACGGAGCUGGCGGUACCGUACGCAAGCGCCGCUCAGUCUACGCCGAGCCGCUCUCUGCGCUUGCGCGACUCUUUUCCACUAAAGAAUUAGCCACAUGUGCGGCUCUCAGAGACUUCUGGGAGGUGGAGAUCCUGCAGGCGGCGAGGGCGGGGUACGGGGAAGCUCGCCGUUUAUCAGGCCAUGAAGGGAACCUCCCGAGAAGGGCGGUCGAUAAAGCACAUUGGCCUUGCUAGAUUCUACAUGCUCCCCAGAGGCGCGUCAGCCGCUGCGUGCCUGUCCAUUGUGGAGCCCGCUGAGAGCAUUGCUGACUCACGCUGGUGCCUGAGCGCUCAGAAGCCCCUCGCACCUUUUUGUGCAGUCGUGGAUUUUGUUCGGUUUUCAGGCCCUACGGGCUGCUUGUCUUGAUCAGAUAGCCAGCUCGCCCGCGACCUCUGACACUUGACGGCUCAGCAGACUUAAGCGAAUAACGCCCUUUGGGCCUUCCAUCACCCCUGGGCACUACCUCACUGACCGCCACUGGGCAAGAAAACCAGAUCGACAAGGGAAAGAGGACUCCUAACAGGGAAACUACAGAACUAUCUGGUUUCUUCAACAAUAUUGUAAAAGCUGAGAGAGAACUUGUGGCUUUUAAGAUUUAAGAAGCAUCCACCAAUCAGGGGACCUUGUUUGGAUGCAGAUGUAAAUUGUGACGUUUUUGUAGGACACUUGAAUUAAGCAUGAACAGAUUGGAUGUGACAUUAAAGAGCUGAUGACAAGUUGAACCACUA
This is a long non-coding RNA of Odocoileus virginianus texanus, 784 nucleotides long. RefSeq lists it as uncharacterized. The record is from RefSeq and is a predicted model, not a curated record. Lineage: Eukaryota; Metazoa; Chordata; Mammalia; Artiodactyla; Cervidae.